GUAUUGAUUGCGUGUGACCGCAAAAUAAAUAAAUAAAAAGAACAUUCUACACUGUAUCAAGUUUUAUGUGAAAACGCAAGCCCUCCUGCAAAGGGGACCCACGCGGUGAUGCACAAAGGUGAGAUGGAUUGUGUGAGAGCGCUCGGGCGUGCACGACCUUUAGAGGGUCAGCGACAGCCUUUGCACCUCAGUUGUACAAUAAUGAUCCUUCCGCAGGUUCACCUACGGAAA
This 231-nucleotide unclassified non-coding RNA is filed under the name uncultured fungus. RNAcentral's name for it is "sequence contains ITS1". Lineage: Eukaryota; Fungi. The record is from RNAcentral.